RNAcentral lists this ribosomal RNA (1381 nucleotides) under Polyzosteria viridissima. Its description in RNAcentral is "16S ribosomal RNA". The stretch from base 890 to 1252 matches the Rfam family "Archaeal large subunit ribosomal RNA", at positions 2150 to 2716 of the family's 2987-position model. Lineage: Eukaryota; Metazoa; Arthropoda; Insecta; Blattodea; Blattidae. The record is from RNAcentral.
CCGUGCAAUUCGGUGUAAUCUGAAUUAUAUAAAUUAUUUUUUUCUUUAAUUUGUUUUAAUUUUUAUUAAAAUCAUUUUUGUUGUUUUUGUAUAGGGUAUAAAUAAAAUAAUUAUUAUUAUAGUUGAUUUUUACUGUAGGGGGUAUAUAUUUUAAUUUAUAUAAGUUGAUUUUAAUUAUUGUACCUUGUGUAUCAGGGUUUAUUGAAUUAUAUUAUUUAUAUUUUAUUUCCCGAUUUUAAAGGAUUUAAUUAAUUAUUUUUAUUAUUGUUUUAUAAAUAUUUAUAAUAAUUUAUUGGUAGUGAAAUGUUAUUCGACUUUAAUUGUAUCUGGUUUUCUAAGAAAUGAAUUUAAUUCAUGUAUUUUUAUUAUAUUUCUAUUUUUGUAGAAUUUAUUUUGGGAAUACUAAAAUUAUGGGGGAUAAGCUCUUUUAUUUAAGUUUUAAAACAUUUUAUGUAUAUAUUUAUUUUAGUUGGUUUUAUAAUAACUAUCUUUUAAAGUUUGUUAAAAUUUUAUUUAUUAAAUUAUUUUAUUUUAAUAUUGUUUAAUUUUUAUAUUAGUAUCUUAUAUUUAAUAAUAAUUUAUUAUUAUUAAUGAUGAAAUUAGUAAAUAAAUUUUUAUAUUUUUUUUAUUGUUUAAAAUUCUUUAAAAAGAACUAGGCAAAAUUGAUUAUUCUCGCAUGUUUAUCAAAAACAUCUCUUCUUGUUGUUAAUUUGAAGUAUGACCUGCCCACUGACAUGUAAUUUGAAGGGCCGCGGUAUUUUGACCGUGCAAAGGUAGCAUAAUCAUUAGUCUUUUAAUUGAAGACUGGAAUGAAUGGUUGGACGAGGAAUGGACUGUUUCUUAUAUAUUUAUUUGAAAUUAUAAUUUAAGUAAAAAUACUUAAAUUUUUUUAUGGGACGAGAAGACCCUAUAGAGUUUAAUUAAUAUCAUUAUUUUGAAAGUUAGAUAAGUUUUGAAAUUUUGUAAUUUAUUUUGUUGGGGUGAUAGGAAGAAUUAAUAAACUCUUUUUUGUAUUUAUAUAUUGAUAUAUAGAUUUUUGAUCCAUUAUUUUUGAUUAUAAGACUAAAUUACCUUAGGGAUAACAGCGUAAUCUUUUUUGAGAGUUCAUAUCGAUAAAUGGGUUUGCGACCUCGAUGUUGGAUUAAGAUUUAAUUUGGGUGUAGCAUUUCAAUAGUUUGGGUCUGUUCGACCCUUAAAAUCUUACAUGAUCUGAGUUCAAACCGGCGUGAGCCAGGUUGGUUUCUAUCUAUAAGUAUUAUUGUAUAUCUUAGUACGAGAGGACCAGAUAUUAGAAAUAAUUUUAUUAUGUUGAUUAUUAUUAAUUUAAUUAACUAUUUUGGCAGACAAGUGCAAUGGAUUUAGAAUCUAUAUAUAUAGAUUU